Chinchilla lanigera (long-tailed chinchilla) is the source of this 2102-nucleotide RNA transcript. It is a transcript of the gene named tectonic family member 1, with no coding region annotated. The transcript is spliced from 15 exons. The record is from RefSeq and is a predicted model, not a curated record. Lineage: Eukaryota; Metazoa; Chordata; Mammalia; Rodentia; Chinchillidae.
CGGGGCCUUUCCCAGGUUGCCUUGCGCCUGGCUGUCGCGGUUGCCGGGCAACGGAUGAUCCAGGGCGCGGGCCCCGCUGGGUUCUGCCGCGCCAUGGGGCCGCAGGGCCUCCGGCCGCUUCUGCUGGUGCUUCUGGCCGGCUGGGCCUCCGUGAGCGCGCAAGCCGUGGCCACUCCCGCGGAGCCGACGGAGGACAUCAACUCCACCGAGGCACCCCCUGCCACUCUCGGACCCUCCUUCGCGCCUAGGACCCUAGGCACCUCCAGAUCCCCGGAGCCCUCCUCCAGCCCCAGGCCCGUCCCCGUCACAGAUGUGGCUGCUCUGUGUGUCUGUGACUUGUCCCCCGCCCAGUGUGAUGUCAACUGCUGUUGUGACCCUGACUGCAGCCCUGUGGACUUCAGUGUCUUCUCUGCUUGCUCAGUUCCGGUCGUCAUGGGUGAUAGCCACUUCUGCAGUCAAAAAGCAGCCAUCUAUUCGUUGAAUUUUACAGCAGACCCACCUAAGAGGGUAUUUAAACUUGUUGACCAGAUCAAUCCAUCUAUUUUCUGCAUUCAUACUACAAACUAUAAACCUGCAUUAUCCUUUAUUAAUCCAGAAGUGCCUGAUGAGAGGAGUUUCGAUAGGUGGAUGAAAACAUCUGAGGGUUUUACACCGAAUGCAGAAGCAGAUGUUUCUUUUACAGUGAAAUCAAGUGCUUCAAAUGCUUCUAAAUAUGAGUACGGGGCUCCUCUGCAGGCUUCGGACGCGUCUCCACACCCGUUUCUGAGAUUCCCUUCGCCUCUCACGUCGGCCCUGUGCGCUGAUAACAACCCUGCCGCAUUUCUGGUGAACCAGGCUGUGAAGUGUACCAGAAGCAUAAAUUUAGAACAGUGUGAAGAAAUGGAGGCCCUUAGGAUGAAUUAUUACAGCAGCCCUACGAUUCUGAGGGUGCCCAAUUCCGUGACACAGGUCCCAAUCACUGUCCGGUCCAUCACCGUUCAGUCUCUAAAUAAAACACUGACCCGCCUGGAGGACACGGGUGUACGGCUGCCGUCUCUUGUCAGUUCUGGGCCUGACAGGAUCUGCAUCAACGUCGUGCUUGAAGUGAAAUACAGCCUCACGUAUACAGACGCGGGUGAGAUCACCGGCGCGGGCCUCUCACUGCUGCUGGGAACCGUUAGCCGUGCCACGGUCCCCCUGCAGCAGAAGUUUGAAAUUAGCUUUAUUCAGCAAAACGCAAGGCCCAUUGCUCUCAGCGGCAACCCUGGCUACGUGGUGGGGCUCCCGCUGGUCGCCGGGCUGCGGCCUCCAAAGGGGUCUGCGAUUAUUCAGACCAUGAACAGAUACGGACAGCUCACCGUUCUCCGCAGCACGAGGGAGCAAGACUGCCUGGCGGCGGAAGGGCUGCGGGCCCCAGUGCUGUUCGGCUACAACAUGCAGACUGGCUGCCAGCUCAGGCUGAGCCCGGCCAUCCCCUGCCGGCUCGUGGCGCAGAAGGUGAAGGACCUGCUGAAGGGCCAGGGCUUCCCGGACUUCGUGGCCCCGUUCGGCAACUCCAGGGCCCAGGAUGUGCUGGACUGGGUGCCUGUCCACUUCAUCACCCACUCGCCCCCCACCAAGGGUUCUUGUCAGCUCCCCGUGGCUCUGGUCAUAGAAGUGAAGUGGACCAAGUACGGAUCCUUGCUGAACCCCCAAGCCAGGAUAGUAAACGUCACGGCGAAUCUCAUCUCCUCCGCCUUUCCCCAGGCCCACUCGGGACGUGAAGGGGCCAUCGUGGUCUCCACCGUGGUGACGUUCGCGGACGUGUCUGCCCCUGCGGCGGCCGGCUUCCGUGCACGGCCCACCGUCCACGCCAGGCUGCCCGCCGGCUUCUUCUUCCCGUUCGCAUGAGGACGCGCCGCUGCCCCUCGUGCCGCCCACAGCCCGUCCCCGCCGCUGCCGGCCGUGUCCCUCGGAGCGGCGCUGCGCGGCGUUCCGGUUUUGAGCCGCCCCGGGAGACCCAGGGAACGCACCGUGACAAGGGCGUCCAGGCCGGCACGUGCACAGAGUUCCUUUUUUUCCCAAAAGCACACGGGAAGACGCUUCUGAGGUCCAGCCUGUCCCGUGUCCAUGCCCGUUGGGUG